Molecule: transfer RNA, 63 nt
Filed under: Tanystylum orbiculare
Lineage: Eukaryota; Metazoa; Arthropoda; Pycnogonida; Pantopoda; Tanystylidae
Description: tRNA-Gly
Source: RNAcentral
AUUCCUUAAGUACAAAGUACAAUUAAUUUCCAAUUAAUAGGUUUAUUAUAAAUAAAAGGAAUA